AUAAAUAUUUAUGGUUUAUUUAAUUUAUUUAUAAUCUAUUUUACAUAUAAAUUUUUGUAUAUAAAUUUAUUUUAAUAAUAAAUUUUUUUUUUAGUAGUAAUUAAUAUUAAUAAUUUAAGAAAUUAAGAAUUAGUAACAUUAAAAUUAAUAACAAAUUUUGUGCCAGCAGUUGCGGUUAUACAAAAGUUAAAUUAAAUUUUAUUAGUAAAUUAAUUAAUAAAUUAAUAUAAUUUAAAAUUUAGAUUAUUAGGUGAAAUUUUAAUUUAAUAAAAAUUUAUAAUUAUUUUAUGAUUUAAUAAAUUUUUUUAAAAGACUAGGAUUAGAUACCCUAUUAUGAGAUUUUAAAAUUAUAAUACUAAAAUAGUAUAUAUUAUUUAUUGAAACUUAAAUAAUUUGGCGGUAUUUUAGUUCAUUUAGAGGAAUCUGUUUAAUAAUUGAUAAUCCACGAAUAAAUUUACUUAAUUUAGAAUUUUGUAUAUCGUUGUUAAAAAAAUAUUUUUUAAUAAUAAUUAAUAUUUAAAAAUUAAUAUUUAAAAUUAGAUCAGAUCAAGAUGCAGAUUAUAAUUAAGAAUAUAAUGGAUUACAAUAAUUUUAUUUAUAUGAAUAUUAAUUUGAAAUAAUUAAUUGAAAGUGGAUUUAAAUGUAAUUUUAUUUAAUUUAUUAAAAUGAUUAAAAAUUAAAAUAUGUACAUAUUGCCCGUCGCUUUCAUAUAUUUUAAAUUGGAAUAAGUCGUAACAAAGUAGAGAUACUGGAAAGUGUUUCUAGAAAGA
This 770-nucleotide non-coding RNA is filed under the name Paraona staudingeri. The record is from RNAcentral. Lineage: Eukaryota; Metazoa; Arthropoda; Insecta; Lepidoptera; Erebidae.